CCAAUUUUAGUUUAUUAAAAACAUUUUGUUGUUAACAAAAAAUAAUAAUAUUGGA
RNAcentral lists this transfer RNA (55 nucleotides) under Sarcoptes scabiei. RNAcentral's name for it is "tRNA-Asn". The record is from RNAcentral. Lineage: Eukaryota; Metazoa; Arthropoda; Arachnida; Sarcoptiformes; Sarcoptidae.